RNAcentral lists this unclassified non-coding RNA (115 nucleotides) under soil metagenome. RNAcentral describes it as "partial internal transcribed spacer 1". The record is from RNAcentral.
CAGUAUUGACUGCUUUGUGGUCUUGCUCACACUCAACCACUGUGCAUUGUUUCGUGACGUUCGCGUCACCACACUUUCACCACUGAUUGAGUAACACAUACAUAAAGUACGCAUA